This 73-nucleotide transfer RNA is filed under the name Propionibacteriaceae bacterium. RNAcentral's name for it is "tRNA-His". It matches the Rfam family "tRNA". From Rfam's summary of the family: Transfer RNA (tRNA) molecules are approximately 80 nucleotides in length. Their secondary structure includes four short double-helical elements and three loops (D, anti-codon, and T loops). The record is from RNAcentral. Lineage: Bacteria; Bacillati; Actinomycetota; Actinomycetes; Propionibacteriales; Propionibacteriaceae.
GUGGCUAUAGCUCAGUCGGUAGAGCAUCAGAUUGUGGAUCUGAGGGUCGCGGGUUCGAGCCCCGUUAGCCACC